UGCCAGCAGCCGCGGUAAGACGAAGGUGGCAACCGUUGUUCGGAAUCAUUGGGCAUAAAGCGCACGUAGGCGGGUAAGUAAGUCGGGUGUGAAAUCCCUCGGCCCAACCGAGGAACUGCGCCCGAUACUGCUUAUCUUGAGGGCAGGAGGGGAUCGUGGAAUUCCUGGUGGAGCGGUGAAAUGCGUUGAUAUCAGGAGGAACACCGGCGGCGAAGGCGACGAUCUGGCCUGCUUCUGACGCUGAGGUGCGAAAGCCAGGGGAGCAAACGGGAUUAGAUA
Molecule: ribosomal RNA, 279 nt
Filed under: uncultured bacterium
Lineage: Bacteria
Description: partial 16S ribosomal RNA
Rfam family: Bacterial small subunit ribosomal RNA
Source: RNAcentral